GCCUAUAGCUCAGUUGGUUAGAGCGCUCGACUCAUAAUCGAUCGGUCGCAGGUUCAAGUCCUGCUGGGCCC
Molecule: transfer RNA, 71 nt
Filed under: Pseudomonas aeruginosa
Lineage: Bacteria; Pseudomonadati; Pseudomonadota; Gammaproteobacteria; Pseudomonadales; Pseudomonadaceae
Rfam family: tRNA
About the family: Transfer RNA (tRNA) molecules are approximately 80 nucleotides in length. Their secondary structure includes four short double-helical elements and three loops (D, anti-codon, and T loops).
Source: RNAcentral